RNAcentral lists this ribosomal RNA (783 nucleotides) under uncultured Alphaproteobacteria bacterium. Its description in RNAcentral is "bacterial SSU rRNA". It matches the Rfam family "Bacterial small subunit ribosomal RNA", at positions 68 to 896 of the family's 1533-position model. The record is from RNAcentral. Lineage: Bacteria; Pseudomonadati; Pseudomonadota; Alphaproteobacteria.
GGGCGUAGCAAUACGUCAGCGGCGGACGGGUGCGUAACACGUGGGAACGUACCCUUUGGUUCGGAACAACGCAGGGAAACUUGCGCUAAUACCGGAUGUGCCCGAAAGGGGAAAGAUUUAUCGCCAAAGGAUCGGCCCGCGUUCGAUUAGCUUGUUGGCGGGGUAAUGGCCCACCAAGGCGACGAUCGAUAGCUGGUCUGAGAGGACGAUCAGCCACACUGGGACUGAGACACGGCCCAGACUCCUACGGGAGGCAGCAGUUGGGAAUCUUGGACAAUGGAGGAAACUCUGAUCCAGCCAUGCCGCGUGAGUGAUGAAGGCCUUCGGGUUGUAAAACUCUUUCGACGGGGACGAUAAUGACGGUACCCGUAGAAGAAGCUCCGGCUAACUUCGUGCCAGCAGCCGCGGUAAUACGAAGGGGGCUAGCGUUGUUCGGAAUUACUGGGCGUAAAGCGCGCGCAGGCGGCCAGCCAAGUCAGGGGUGAAAGCCCGGAGCUCAACUCCGGAAAUGCCUCUGAAACUGUCUGGCUUGAGUACGGAAGAGGUGAGUGGAAUUCCCAGUGUAGAGGUGAAAUUCGUAGAUAUUGGGAAGAACACCGGUGGCGAAGGCGGCUCACUGGUCCGUUACUGACGCUCAGGCGCGACAGCGUGGGGAUCAAACAGGAUUAGAUACCCUGGUAGUCCACGCCGUAAACGAUGAACGCUAGCCGUUGGCGAGCUUGCUCGUCAGUGGCGCAGCUAACGCAUUAAGCGUUCCGCCUGGGGAGUACGGCCGCAAGGUUG